Molecule: long non-coding RNA, 430 nt
Filed under: Rosa chinensis
Lineage: Eukaryota; Viridiplantae; Streptophyta; Magnoliopsida; Rosales; Rosaceae
Description: sRNA RchiOBHm_Chr5g0048361
Source: RNAcentral
CGUCGAUUCUGGCACGAAGAUCAAUAAUAGGUCGUCAAGUUUCGGGGUUAAGAGCUCGACGGCGAGUUCGAGAAAGUUGGGGGGUGGAGGUUCUGUCCAAGUACAUGAGUGAUAUUCAGACAAGGCAUGAAUAUUCAGUUGGGGGGUGGAGACCGAUGUCGGCGACGGCGGCUUCGACCUCCCUCACCUUCCGCCUCUAGAUCCUAGUCAUCGCCAACCGGUUCAAGUCCAUAUCGCCUCAGCCGGAGAGUCCGAAUCUGAUUCUCAUCGGCGCCUAGCUCAACAACCCGGAAGGGUGGCCCGCUUCUGAUAAAGCUAGCCUGAGACACCAUCGCCUCCGGCGAAGGCCCUAACUGGGCGCUGGACUAUGCCGUCAGGGAGGCCAGGUCGUUCGAGCGGUAUGUCGUCGACGACGAGCCCAGCCCGGACC